This 24-nucleotide non-coding RNA is filed under the name Arabidopsis thaliana (thale cress). Lineage: Eukaryota; Viridiplantae; Streptophyta; Magnoliopsida; Brassicales; Brassicaceae. The record is from RNAcentral.
GACAGAGAGCCUAUCACCAGCUGC